RNAcentral lists this ribosomal RNA (506 nucleotides) under uncultured bacterium. RNAcentral's name for it is "partial 16S ribosomal RNA". It matches the Rfam family "Bacterial small subunit ribosomal RNA", at positions 29 to 523 of the family's 1533-position model. The record is from RNAcentral.
AGUGAACGCUGGCGGUAGGCCUAACACAUGCAAGUCGAACGGCAGCACAGGAGAGCUUGCUCUCUGGGUGGCGAGUGGCGGACGGGUGAGGAAUACAUCGGAAUCUACUCUGUAGUGGGGGAUAACGUAGGGAAACUAACGCUAAUACCGCAUACGACCUACGGGUGAAAGCAGGGGACCUUCGGGCCUUGCGCGAUUGAAUGAGGCGAUGUCGGAUUAGCUAGUUGGCGGGGUAAAGGCCCACCAAGGCGACGAUCCGUAGCUGGUCUGAGAGGAUGAUCAGCCACACUGGAACUGAGACACGGUCCAGACUCCUACGGGAGGCAGCAGUGGGGAAUAUUGGACAAUGGGCGCAAGCCUGAUCCAGCCAUACCGCGUGGGUGAAGAAGGCCUUCGGGUUGUAAAGCCCUUUUGUUGGGAAAGAAAUCCAGCUGGCUAAUACCCGGUUGGGAUGACGGUACCCAAAGAAUAAGCACCGGCUAACUUCGUGCCAGCAGCCGCAGUAA